RNAcentral lists this transfer RNA (120 nucleotides) under Ooceraea biroi (clonal raider ant). It matches the Rfam family "tRNA". From Rfam's summary of the family: Transfer RNA (tRNA) molecules are approximately 80 nucleotides in length. Their secondary structure includes four short double-helical elements and three loops (D, anti-codon, and T loops). The record is from Rfam by way of RNAcentral. Lineage: Eukaryota; Metazoa; Arthropoda; Insecta; Hymenoptera; Formicidae.
GUCAGGAUGGCCGAGCGGUCUAAGGCGCCAGACUCAAGGUUCAUACCUUCUCGGUUCAAAACCGAGUUCAGGGUUUUCUGGUCCUCUCUGAGGGCGUGGGUUCGAAUCCCACUUCUGACA